RNAcentral lists this ribosomal RNA (253 nucleotides) under uncultured bacterium. RNAcentral's name for it is "partial 16S ribosomal RNA". It matches the Rfam family "Bacterial small subunit ribosomal RNA", at positions 524 to 776 of the family's 1533-position model. The record is from RNAcentral.
UACGUAGGUGGCAAGCGUUGUCCGGAAUUAUUGGGCGUAAAGCGCACGUAGGCGGCUUUUUAAGUCAGGGGUGAAAUCCUGGAGCUCAACUCCAGAACUGCCUUUGAUACUGGAAAGCUCGAGUCCGGAAGAGGUGAGUGGAACUGCGAGUGUAGAGGUGAAAUUCGUAGAUAUUCGCAAGAACACCAGUGGCGAAGGCGGCUCACUGGUCCGGUACUGACGCUGAGGUGCGAAAGCGUGGGGAGCAAACAGG